GCCGGAAAGCUCAGUUGGUAGAGCAGAGGACUGAAAAUCCUCGUGUCACC
Molecule: transfer RNA, 50 nt
Filed under: Lepicolea ochroleuca
Lineage: Eukaryota; Viridiplantae; Streptophyta; Jungermanniopsida; Jungermanniales; Lepicoleaceae
Description: partial tRNA-Phe
Source: RNAcentral